CUACGGGAUGCUGCAGUGAGGAAUAUUGCACAAUGGGGGGAACCCUGAUGCAGCAACGCCGCGUGGAGGAUGACGCAUUUCGGUGUGUAAACUCCUUUUAUAUGUCAAGAAAAUGACGGUAGCAUAUGAAUAAGCACCGGCUAACUCCGUGCCAGCAGCCGCGGUAAUACGGAGGGUGCAAGCGUUACUCGGAAUCACUGGGCGUAAAGGACGCGUAGGCGGGUUGGAAAGUCAGGUGUGAAAUCCUACAGCUUAACUGUAGAACUGCACUUGAAACUUCUAAUCUAGAGUAUGGGAGGGGGAGAUGGAAUUAGUGGUGUAGGGGUAAAAUCCGUAGAUAUCACUAGGAAUACCUAAAGCGAAGGCGAUCUCCUGGAACAUUACUGACGCUAAGGCGUGGGGAGCAAACAGGAUUAGAUACCCGGGUAGUC
This 431-nucleotide ribosomal RNA is filed under the name uncultured bacterium. Its description in RNAcentral is "partial 16S ribosomal RNA". It matches the Rfam family "Bacterial small subunit ribosomal RNA", at positions 339 to 795 of the family's 1533-position model. The record is from RNAcentral.